Molecule: microRNA precursor, 59 nt
Filed under: Melibe leonina
Lineage: Eukaryota; Metazoa; Mollusca; Gastropoda; Nudibranchia; Dendronotidae
Description: microRNA mle-mir-1 precursor
Gene: mle-mir-1
Rfam family: mir-1 microRNA precursor family
About the family: This family represents the microRNA (miRNA) mir-1 family. miRNAs are transcribed as ~70nt precursors (modelled here) and subsequently processed by the Dicer enzyme to give a ~22nt product.
Source: miRBase by way of RNAcentral
ACAUACUUCCUUGCUAUCCCAUAUUUAUGGCAACCUAUGGAAUGUAAAGAAGUAUGUAU